UGGGGAAUUUUGGACAAUGGGCGCAAGCCUGAUCCAGCCAUUCCGCGUGCAGGAUGAAGGCCCUCGGGUUGUAAACUGCUUUUGUACGGAACGAAAAGGCUCUGGUUAAUACCUGGGGCUCAUGACGGUACCGUAAGAAUAAGCACCGGCUAACUACGUGCCAGCAGCCGCGGUAAUACGUAGGGUGCAAGCGUUAAUCGGAAUUACUGGGCGUAAAGCGUGCGCAGGCGGUGAUGUAAGACAGGUGUGAAAUCCCCGGGCUUAACCUGGGAACUGCAUUUGUGACUGCAUCGCUGGAGUGCGGCAGAGGGGGAUGGAAUUCCGCGUGUAGCAGUGAAAUGCGUAGAUAUGCGGAGGAACACCGAUGGCGAAGGCAAUCCCCUGGGCCUGCACUGACGCUCAUGCACGAAAGCGUGGGGAGCAAACAGGAUUAGAUACCCUGGUAGUCCACGCCCUAAACGAUGUCAACUGGUCGUUGGGUCUUCACUGACUCAGUAACGAAGCUAACGCGUGAAGUUGACCGCCUGGGGAGUACGGCCGCAAGGUUGA
RNAcentral lists this ribosomal RNA (549 nucleotides) under uncultured Comamonadaceae bacterium. RNAcentral's name for it is "bacterial SSU rRNA". It matches the Rfam family "Bacterial small subunit ribosomal RNA", at positions 355 to 897 of the family's 1533-position model. Lineage: Bacteria; Pseudomonadati; Pseudomonadota; Betaproteobacteria; Burkholderiales; Comamonadaceae. The record is from RNAcentral.